UCCCUGGUGGCUCAGAUGGUAAAGCAUCUGCCUAUAACGCGGGAGACCUGGGUUCAAUCCCUGGGUUGGGAA
Non-coding RNA from Bos taurus (domestic cattle), 72 nucleotides. Lineage: Eukaryota; Metazoa; Chordata; Mammalia; Artiodactyla; Bovidae. The record is from Rfam.